This 86-nucleotide transfer RNA is filed under the name Kiritimatiellia bacterium. RNAcentral's name for it is "Kiritimatiellae bacterium (sediment metagenome) tRNA-Leu". It matches the Rfam family "tRNA". Rfam says of the family: Transfer RNA (tRNA) molecules are approximately 80 nucleotides in length. Their secondary structure includes four short double-helical elements and three loops (D, anti-codon, and T loops). The record is from RNAcentral. Lineage: Bacteria; Pseudomonadati; Kiritimatiellota; Kiritimatiellia.
GCCGGAGUGGCGAAAUGGCAGACGCGCCAGACUCAAAAUCUGGUGGUGGCAACACUGUGUGGGUUCGAGUCCCUCCUCCGGCACCA